CACCGCUCGCUCCUCGCCGUUUGGAUUAACAUGCGGGAGAUGCUCCUGUCACUUUGCUUACUGUCAGCGCCUGCUCGGGGAUGGGUGACGGCUUUGUUCGGGGGAGCCGUGCCAAGGCGGACUUGGCAGGCGCUCCCCCGGGGCGGCCGCAGAGGGCUGCGGGGUGCACGGCCGCCCCUCGGCCCCUCCGCCGCCGGCCUGGUGCAGGCGAGAUGAAAACGUGUUUUGUUCCGUGCUUUUGGCAUCUCCCCAGCAGCGCUCCCAGCCCCUCGGCCCCCCUCCCCAGCCCGCCGGGACUCCCUUUUUAUCAUCGGCGCAACCCAUGUGCUCGCGGCAGCAACAAAAAGGCCCCAAAUACGCCCUAAAACACAAACCACCCCCAAUCUGCCCCCGCGGAGGCCGCUGCCCCCAUGCCGUCCCCAUGGCGGGCGUGUCGCUUUCGGCUUUUUUCCCUUUUUUUUUUUUGCCCUUUUUGCGCAGAGCACGAGGCGGGAUGAGGGGGUGCGCGGGCGGGAAAAAGCACACGGCGGGGGGGGGGCACAAAGCCCUAUCCACGUCCCCAGGCCUUUUGUUUAACCCACGUCGACGCGCAGGAAGGUCCCAGCUUUAUUUCUGCCCCUUCUUUUUUUUUAAUUAUUAUUAUUUUUCCCCCCGUGCUCGCGCCCUUUGGGGGCGAUUUGGAGCCGAACAGGGCAAAACUCUUCAGGGUGGAUUUUCGGAGAGCCGAGUGCAGGAAUUCCUGCCAGCUCGCCUUUGUGCCAGCCUGCCCCGGCCUUCGGCGUCUCGUUCGGAUGGAGCCUGGCAUCCAGGCACCGCCCAUUUCUUGGCGUUGAGCUGAGAGGAGAAGGAAAGGGGAGAGAGCGAGCAAGAGAAGGGAAAAAAAAAAAAAAAAAAAAGCUGUCUCACUCCAACUGGCCUUUCUCGGAAAAGGAUCCUUCCCCGGUGACUGUCCGGAUAAGCGGAGCUCAAUGCAGCCACCGCUCCGCAACACAACCCCUCUCUCCGCGGUGCGUCCCCUCUCGCUGCCUUGAUCAUGCUGUUGUUGUACACAGUCCCCCACAGUCAAAAAUAGAGGAGUCCUAAAGACUCCUGAAAGAAUGCUCAGGAAAACAGGGAGAAGUGCCACUGGACAAGCCUGAAGAAGAAAAGAAUCAGCCCACAAGUAAACAGAGGAAACAUUUUGGUUCACCCAUGCACACGCUCCAACUAAGGAUAAAAGCUGACAUCCUUCCACCCCAUUCAAAAGGAAAGUUUCUCUCAUCAUCAAAGGAUGAAAAUCCCUUUGCUUCUUACUCAGGUUUUCAUCCCCUCUAAAAUUCAUGAGCCAGAAGCCAAAUGGUCACUGAGAGGAGGAGAGAGCAUCUGCAAUAUGGCAGUGGGGCUACAUUUGUAUGGGCUCACACUGAGGGAAAAACCAGAAGGAGAAGACCUGAAGAGGCUCCAGUAAACAGCCAGAGGGAACGCUUUGAUGCUGAUGAAGUCCAAAGACACGAACACAUGAUGGUGAGCAGCUGACUGCCACAGCUGUACAGCAUGGUAGGAAAAAAAAACAGAGCUAAAGCACAAGGACUUUGGCUUGCAAGACCCCUGGCAGCAUCACAGACCCCGUCUUAAGAGUCCUGGUCUCAGACAGAACUUGGCAGUCUUUUUCUCCCCAUCCAGCUCUGAUCCAAAGGCAAACAGCAUUCUUUGUUCUAUCUACUAUCAAAUGACCAUCCUGAGCAGAAAGUAGACUCACACUGAAGGAUGACCACCAACUCCUGCAUUCUGUAAUUAUUUUCUUGAGGAAGAGAGUCUCCUGGGGCUGGAGUACGGGCCCAUGUGCCUUACCAACGCCAUGCUCCUGGUUUUCAAUCAGCUUUCAUCCAGGUAGCUAACCCUUCACAACACUGAGAGACUGAACAGCAGCAUCAAGGGUGUGUGUUGGAUGAGAGCUCUGGUGAGGCCACAGCAGCAAUACCUGAAGCAGAGAGCAUUGAGAGCAAGAGUCCUGUCCUGUGGGAGAGAUGUGGCCAUGAACGCAGUCUCCCUCUUCCAUCAGUGCAGCUCAGAGGCUGCAGACUGGAGGCCAUGAGGACAUCCCCUCGUCACCAGCUCCUCCCUUCUCCUUUGUGACGCUUCAGCACCUCAAGAGCAUUCACAACCCCCUCUCCUAAUAGAAACCAACACCCCAGCUCUCUCAGUAGCUCACAUCCACAAAACCGACACAUUCAUGACCUCUUUCCCUUGCUUAUGUCGCCAAAUUACCUCCCCCUCCCCAUGCUAAUAAGCCACCAAAGCCCAAGUGCACACACCCUCUGGUUGACUCUUAAAUUCUUACUCCCACCUCUCACCCCUUGUAUUACGCACACCCAUGUGACUGAGAUAAACUGAAUAAGCAUCAAGUGCUGGGGCUUGUCUGUGGUUUUCUGGGAGCUACAAGCGUUUUCUGUGAUCCCAGCCCCAUGGCACAUCCACAACCCAUUAUCUUUCCCAUUCAGGACCACCAGGUGGAUGCAUAGCACACGGAGGGUCUUAUAAAUAUAUCUUGCCUUGUCAUGCUCCUAGUAAGCUUUAACUUGGAAUAAGGAUUUAAAAGUUUCUCAGUUUGACAGGUUUUUUUUAUAGAAGAAGUUAUUGGUGUCAAAGCAGCUGAAAUAGUUCCUCAUUCCUAGCUUCAAAUUGGCAUGCUGCAUAGGUGGCCACAUCCUGAUCUGCUGCUACGCACAUCGAGAGCCUUGUUGUCUUCAUUCAGCAUCCUGCCUCCAUGCUUUACCUGGAAGAGCAUUGCUCAAGAAAUGCAAUCUUCUUUCAGUGCAAGGACUGGAGGUUUCAGGUGGGCUUUGCUGUCCCAAACCCUACUGAAAUAAACAGGACUUGGAUCUCUCAAAUACCUUCAAAACUCCCAAACUUUAGUACAAAUAGCACAAACGUACCUGUGAAGGAAUUCUUACUGCUGCCCACCAAGCCUGCAUGAAAAGCUGGGACAGAUACUAACAGUUUGCUACAGAUGAUGCUCAUCUUCAAAUAAGGAAAUCAAGCACAGCCAUUUAAGAAGUAAUCUAUCCGUAACCAUUUUCACCUGGAGAGCUUAGGAUCAUCUGCAGGAAGUUGGGGAGGCAAUGAGAAACAGCGGUUAUUAAAAGCCUUAAGAUCCUGGGUUUCUUCACAGGGAUAUUGGCAUUGCAAUUCUGCUCCAAAUUACUCUUCAGGAAAACUGCCCUCUCAAUAAAGCUUACCAGGUUUGUCCUCCGGUUCUUAAAUUCAUCCCAUAUGGAAAUGCCACGAAGCACCUUGUCCAAUUAACACCCCUCCUUACAGGGUUUCCCCGCAAGAUCUGUAUCAGCUUCAAAACUGUGCUUGGUGGUGGCACUCACAGUUCCCUUCAUCCAUAAGGAUGGGGCUCGUACCCGGGAUUUCUCACUUAUCCUUAGUCCUGGGAACAGCUGCGGUUCUCACAGCUUUAUCUUGCUUUGUGCACCCCUGAGGGGCUGCCCGUGUUGGGUGCUCUCCCAUGAGCUGUGUCCCGCUCUGACCACCUGCUCUGGGCUGGUUUUACUCACAAAGGGAACUCACCUACGUUGUGGAUGAUGGGCAGGGUAAGGGCGAUGCCUACGCACUGCUCGGGAAUAUCAAGGAUGGCUUUUGUAGAAUGGUUUGGGUUGGAAGGGACCUCAAAGAUCGUCUGGUUUCAACCCCGAGGAGCGGCUCCAGCCUCCACCCAGAGCAGAUGGUUCAUUCUUCAUAUCCACCCGUCCCUCCAUCAGCCCAGGCAAAACCCUGCGGCGAUGCCUCCAAACUGCCCAAGUGCUCUCUGCAUGGAGCCCUGCGAGGCUGCUGCGUUCCAUGUUUGUUUCUCUGGCUUCGUGCCCCCACUGCUUCCCUGACUUUCGAGCCCCACUGCUGAAUCUCUGUCCCAAAGGCCUCGCUGGCUGCCCCGGGUUCCUCUCCCCCUCCCCACACCCUCCUGUGGGUGUUAUUUACACCGUUUCCUUCCCAGGGAAGUACAGGAGUUGGACGUUACGGGGUUGGUUUCCGUUCUCCUGCCCUGCUCCCAUCGGGAGCUGUCACAGAGAACAAGCCCCACGGAGCUGGUGGUGGUGGGGCCGGAGGUGCCCACCAGGCCCCGGCAAAGACAUAACCCCUUCCAGGACCUCAACCAGCUCGGGUGUGCUGGAAACCACGACCCACGGCCACGCUGGUCCGGCUGUGGGGCUGGACAGGACCACUCAGCCCCCGGCGGGAGGCAGGGAGGACAGAACCGGGCAUCUCUGCCAAGCUGUUCAGUUCCCAUUGAAUCCACACCCUCCCCUUUCCCCUCCCUUCCCUUCUUCCCUCCCAUCUCCAGCGAACAAAAUGGCUGCAUGGCCAUUUUGUUUUCUGCCUGGAAGGGGGAAGCGAGGACGCUGGGACUUGGCUCUUUUUUGGAGGCUGCGGCCAUGUUCGAGCCCAACUCUCCCGUCUCGACGUGGCACCGGCUGUAGCAGGGAGGGAGGAAAAAAAAAAAAAAAAAAAAAAAGGACCUUUUGGAAUGAGACCAAAGUCAGAGACAGAGAGUGGGCAGUUUUGGCAUAUGUUGAGCACUGAAAAUGCCUGGAAUUGCCAAACCGAGCUUUUGUGUUAGCAGGGUAAGGCUACUCGGUGCACGCAGAGCCGCGGGGCUGCACGGUAUAGCCGGACUGAAAGGUUUGUUCGCUGCGUUCAAUAAAACAGCCCUCCUUUCUUGUGUAUUUAUAAAGUACCAGUGAGCACUGUUGUCUAAUUUGUUUUUGGACGGGCGGAUGGUUUUACACAUCGGCUUGGUAUGAUUAGAGCCGGUCAGCGCCGGACGGUAGCAGUUUAACCUGUUGUGUGUCCUUUCGUUUUUGGUGAAUAUAAAAUUUGACCUUUCUGCAGAUUUGGCAGCUAAUGGGAUCCGGAGCCUUUUAUUUUUAAUUAUUUUUAUUUUUUAGGGAUUUUUUUUGUUUGUUUUGUUUAUUGCCUGAAAAGUUUUUCAGUCUUGGGAAUAAAAAUCUUCAUUUAAAUAUUAAAAGAUAGAGCUGCUCCUGGCUUUUUAAGCACUUGCUUUCCUUGCCGGGACGGUGCAGUGCUGUGAUAGCAAGCUGUUUACUGCAAGCGUGUAUCUCCUGCAACACAACAGAAGCCACGGGAAGCAACAUGCCUUAAAAGUUGAAGGGAACUUGGUGGCGUUACCAUACAACGUUGCGCAGAAGCAUGGCAAAAAAAAAAAAAUACCAGAACAUGCGCCAAAUCAGAGGGAUUUUUUUUCUUUUUUUUUUUUUUUUUAAGUGAUUCUGCAUUUCCCUCAGUAGCUGGGAUGGCUUCGCAGUUCGCAGUCACGGCUCUUCGCUCCCGGACGCCAGAGGGGAAUGGAUUUCUGGUGACAUAGGGGGGAUCGGCUUUGCUGUGGGUCCGCAUUGGGGUGGUCUCACCUCUCCUGGAGGGAUUGCCGGACAUCUGGAGAGAUGCUGGGAACGGGAGCAGGAGCAGGGGGAUCGCUGUUCUUGCAUGGAAAGGUAUUUGCCUCCGAAUCUGCUUGGCUUUCUUGCAAAAGGACAGUUGCGGUGGAAAUGGUGGUCUUGGAGCUGGUGUGCAUAGGUGGGCACCGGGUUCGCUUCGCAAAUUCCAUGUUUUGGUCCAAAUAUAUGUUAGGGGUAAACAUGACCCCUUUUGCAAGCAGGUUUUGAACUGAAGGAGGGCAGCAUUGAUGGAAGAGUUUUACAAAAUAUUGCAGGAUGCUCUCUGCGUAGAUCUUUGUGUUGUCCUAUAGCAUUGCGUUAUCCUAUAGCAUUGCGUUAUCUUACGGAAUUGAACACAGCAGUUAAAAGUAAAUAUUUUUUUUCCCCUUUUAUCUCUUGAUUUUUACUCUUCUGAAGGAAUUACGAAAUAUCAGUAGCACUUGUUUUUAAUUUUAUAACAAAAAAAUAGGGGAUUUUUAUUUUUUCCUGCAGGAAAGUAUAUGUGAUAUGCUGAUUGACCAGGAAAAUUAAUGAUUGUUCAGAAAAAAGCCUUAUCUUUGCGGUCACCUUUAAUAAUGGGUUCAUGAAGGGUUAAUCAAAGAUAAAUAGCGUAAGGAGCAUAUUACAGAUGCAUGUAUUGUAGAUAAAAAUACCAGAUUGAUUAAGGAGGAUCGAGAGGUUUACAAACAUCCGACAGGACUCGAGGCAACGCCUAUCAGAUGAGCAGGAAUUCAUUAGGGUACCUAUUAAUUGUUUAAUAUAACAAUAAGUAUUUAAUAUAAACAAAUGCUGCAGCAACACUGAUGUGGAGUACUGCCGACAUCAUUACAGCACAUGGAGGAAAGCACUGCUGAGACGCGGGGCUGUUGUCGGGAUGAACUUUCCCGAUUUCAGCGUCCAUCUCCCCUUUGCCUAUUUGCAGUGCCUCCAAUUAACUCUUUUGCAGCUUCGUGCUCGGCCCCAGGGUCAGGUCCGCUUUGCUUUCCCGACAGAUCCACUGCUUUGUGAGAAUUAAGAGAAACGUGGCCCAUUUGGCACCGAGCUGCUUCACCCAGCCCAAACCACUCAUGGCAGCACCGCGACUCAUGGGAGCGAGAUCAGAGGGAGCAGAGAGCGCAGAGACAGCGCCGGCGCACGGCAUCGCUGCACCCGGCGACGUCAGGAGCUCCUGAAAACUUUCCCAACUUCUUUUUUUUUUUUUUUUUUCUUCUUCUUCUUCUUUUCGUCCAUUUGCUUUUCAUUUCCCCACUCGAGGCGGCGAGGAUGUGAGAAUGUUACUACGGCCUUCCCCACCGGGCAAAGCCACGGCGACAAAAUGGCCGACGGGCAGCCAUUUUGUGGGAGCAGGCAGCGGCUGCGGGCAGCUCUGUGCUUCUCUGCCUCCCUCUGCCCGCUCCUGCCAUGGCUCCAUGGGGCUGAAAGGGCUCUCAGAGAAGCAGCGUUUCCCUCUGGGAAGUCCUGCCUGUGCCCGGCACAUUUUGGCACUGAGCUCAGCGCUGCAGCUACACAAAGGCUGAAAGCUGCGCCUGCUUUUAACGGAGCGACCUUGUUGUUGCACGGUUUCCUCCCCCCUCCUCCUCCAUUUCAUUCAGUUCUCCUUAAUAAGCCAGAUCAGCUCCUCAAAGCUGUUCCAGCUCUUUUCUGAAGCUCUGUACCACCAUGAUUUGAAUGGCAGAGGCUCUGCUCGGCCCCAUCGGCCUUCAGACCCAUGGAUAGUUGUGGGUCCGCCAUGAGGCAUCUCCCGGGGGUCCCCGGUGACAGCUACCGUCACUUUUCCAUCCCAAAAACAAGCACGAAAGCCAGACUGGAGGUGACAUUUUGCCUUCAUGAAGGAUCUUGCUGUGAGGAAACGUAUCCAUCAUUUACCUGUCAAUUUCCUUCACCCCUCCAAAGACACCCGGACAGCAGAGCGGGCUGCAGCACUCCAAGUACAGUGAUCUUCUUGCAGAGCUUUUUCUAAAAGAAAUACGUGUAUGUCUACCUCGUAUUUGGCUUAUUUUUAAGUCCUCAUACGGAUCUAGGAGGGGAGAAUAGCAGUACCACUCCCCAAAAAAUCUGUGCACAGAAAAUGGUAUUUUUCAAAGAGGUCAGGCUCUUAGCAGUCAGGUGUCUGAAAAUCUCCCCAAACUCAGGGCUUCAUGAACUCAGAAGGCAGUGGUUGGCUUUGGGGUAUCAGCUCCUGACCCCUGUAGGCCCUUCUGGCUAUUUUAGUCUGAAUUUUGCAGUGCUGCAUUGCAUUUAGGCACUUGUAAAUUGAAUGCCUCAGCAGCAAUGUGCUGGAAGGGAAGGUUUUGUGCCUGGAAACCAGGGCUGACCCAGGGAAGCCAUCAUCGUGGGAAGGAGCACAGAGACAGGAGCAGGACCUGCCAAGCGUGGUCCCACUUUCAUCUUUCCUGUGGACUUGCCCUGUGAUUUUUGGCAGAUUUGGUCACAUCGCUUCUUUCUCCAUCUUUAGACCAUAAGCCAUCCAGGAGAGGGGCCAUCCUUACAGCACCUCGCAGCAUCAGCUGUGACAAUGACACAGGGGUUAGGAGAGUCACACUGAUCCUUACAGUAUUUCUAAAUUGUCCUGUUUGACUGCUUUCUUCAUAGGUCCUGGCAGGAUCAAGAUUGCAGUGUCAGCAGCUCGGUAUUCCUGAAACUUAUUAAGACAAUUAUCAUAAUUAAAUCUCCUGUUUUCAGGAUUACUUGUAGAAGUCAGAAGGGAUCUUUCUUUUUUUCCUCCCCAUGUAUAAUUAGAUUGAUGUAAACGAGGGGUUAUGUAACAAUUUCCUCCCCACAGUUUGAUAUUAACCCAAACUCCUAUUCCCUGCAGUGGUAUCAAAAGUGACCCCGUAAAUGCCUGUUCCUCUGGUUGGUGUCUGUGGCGGCAGCUUAAGCCUUGGGAAGCUAAAACACUUUCAGAUAGAAAACCUGAAGUCAGAAGGAACCCACGAGGGCCAUCAAAUCGAACUCCCAAACUUCUGACUUUAAAUGAAUCCCUCUGUUCCUGAUGGUAACUGCUGCAAAGCUCCGGCUGCUGUUGCGUGCAUUAAGGAGGGAGGUUUAACCUCUGUGCAUCACUUGCUAUGCCAGUAAAACAGGAAGAAUAUUAUUUCCCUUCAGAAGGCUGUUUGGGAUUCAAAGCGCUUGGCACUGUGGAUGGGUUGGCUACUUAAAUGCUAUGGGAAUCAGUCCUGCAACACUGAUUUUCUGACACUGUUUAUACGUUAUCACACAGGGAGAGGCCUGGGCCAGAUGGCCUGGCACAGUAGGUCAUCCCAAGGCUGAGUUUGUCAAAGGAAAUUAAAAGAAUUAACUGGGCUGUGCUGACUGCUAGCUGAGAAGGAUUUCUGGACAGCUCUGCAAAGGAACGUGGGCACUUUCCAAGCCUCGCUGCAGAGAUAUUCAAAAGAAUAUCUCUGCCCAUCUUAACCUCUCACCUUGGGGACCCCAGCUACAAUAGCUGCCCGUACCUUGGGGAAUCUCACUCAUGCACACUGCUGCCUGUUAGCUGUGGAAACAUAGAACAUCAGGCAUCCUCCGUCCCCACGGUGACGUCUGCCUUAGCCCCUGCAUCUCCCAUCCAGCCGUGGGCAGAUGGGACCCCUCCUGCUUCACAGCGCUGCGCUGCACAUGCAGCCCCUUGACGUGCUGCUGGAGGCUCCCUUUCUCGUUAGAUCCUCCUUUAAUCUCCAAGGGGAAAUCCUUCUCAUUGCGAGAGAACCUCACGCAGCUUUUAAACCGCCAGCGCAAUACCUUGCAUCUGUAGUGAGGUGUACAGAGAAUGAAAAAGCCUCAGAAGGUGAGCCAAGGGCUUGGGGGGAAGCCAGUCUGUCUCUGCUCCACGCUAAUAGUGCCUGGCUGUGCUAUAGCAUUAAAGGGACACCAAAGCUGCAUGCUGCACUCAUUUGUUUGGGAAAUGAGAUCUGCCUUGAUAUACUCAAUACCAUUACAUGUGCAGCCUAAAAGCUUCCUUGUACUCAGUUAUUUCUAAUCUGCUCAGUUCCCUGGAGUGCAUAACAGCUAAAUUGAUGGAUUAUCUUAUCUAGUCUGGCAGGUUUGUUCUAGAUACGCUGUGUGUUCAAGAGGUGAGGUCAGCUUGCCUGUAUAUUAUGUGGUGUUGCUGCAGCUUCAGGAAGGCUGUGCUCGCUGUGUGCAUGGUCCUGGGCUCAGUCAGCAGAGCUGCUGUUUCCGUAAGCCCUUGGGUGCGUAAAAUCUGCAGCCAGCUUGAUUGCCAAGGAUAAAUUAUAGUCCAAGUGGACUGAAGGAGGUAGAAGGAAGAAAGGGAGCUCCACGGCGAGGCUGAGUAUGAGACUUGCUUCUUCUAGCAACACAAAGCCUGAUGAAUUUUUGUGCAUUUCUCUUCACAGGAGCCACCGAGCAGUCAGUUCCUGGAUAAGGAUCAUCUCAUUGCCCUAGAUGGCAAUGGUCCCAAGCUGUCCUUGAGGCUGAGGUAGUAGAUUGAAUAGUUGUGGAGUCCUAUCCUCCCUUUGAGCUAACUAUACAAUCUACUGUCUUUCCUAAGGAGACAGUCAGGUCUUCAGUUCAUCUGCUUCGACACCAAGCAUGGAGACAGGUGGUGCAAGAAAUCCUGCUCUUACACAAAGCCAGGGAACUACACCAGACCUCUGCACUGCUCUGUGGAGAGCAGCAAUACCACCGGAGGAGCAGCUCAGCCACAGAGGUCCCGAAGCAAAACCAGCACAUGGCAUUGUUGGACAACACAGUGGGUCUUCUCCUACAGCAUCCAGGAUUGUAUUAGUCCAGGGACUGCUCCCUGCCUCGGUCAUAUGAACAGGGAGCUAGCUACAUAAAGAAAAAUGCAUCUCUCAUUUUUAAUGGGUGCAAGAGAAACAGUGAAAUGAGCUGGCUUAGCCCGUGGACUCAAAGCCCCGUGAGCUGAUCAGAUUUUGGCUGGUUGGCCCCUGCAAAUGCAUUCUGGCUUUGGACGAGUUCCCAGCUCUCCCGUGGGACAGAGUUAGAGGGUGGUUCCUUCUGAGCUGAUAACCUCUGUCAACCCAGCUCACGUGCAAACCCUGCUGAAGAGAUUAGGGCUCCUAUGUAUUUACACGGGAUAAGGCAGCAAUUCAGACCAAAGCCCCGUCCUACUCAGGAGUCAGGUGAGAAAGAGAGAUGAGCCAAAGGCAGCGGGUCCUAACCCUUCUUGUGUGUCCCAGGUAGGGGGCACUGACAGCUGACAGUAGAUGCAGGAGAUGACAGCCUGCUUCAGAGCUCUGGCUCUCGACAAGGGACAGGGAAUGGUUAUUUCUUCCCUUUGUGAGAAGCAGAUGCCACAUUCCAGAGUAAAUAGAAUCCUGAUCACAAGAGGGGCUGUAACUCAAUGAGGGCUGCACCAGUUUCUCGAGACUGAAGGAUGUCUCGGGACAUUAUCACCGGCAUCUCACCGCCAGGGAAACGUGUGAAAGCUGAGACACUGAGGAGCGAGGAGCAAACCAAGGACACUUCUCAGAUGAAUGGGGAGGAAGAGAGCAGCAAUAAGAAGCAGGAACCCUCAAAUUUCACCUGGAAGCGAAACACAGGGAGACUCAGACCUGGCUGCUUGAGGCUAUGGGACUCCCAGAAGUGAAGCAGCUCGUUUAAGGCUCCUCUGCUUCUUGGGAUAGGGCGUAGCUUCAGCAAGGCUGGGACAGGACUUCUCGGGCUGGGCAACAGCUGGAGGGUGGGGAUGCCGGAGUGUCUAGCAGCAGAGGAAUGCAGCCCUCUGCUCCAUGCAUCUGGCUGUUCAGGAGUCACGGGGACCCGCCAUACAAAGCUACAGCUCGCUCCUCUUCUACACAUUCUUAUCGCUCCUAAGGGGCAGGGCUUCUACCCCAGCGUUGCUUGGAAGGUACCAAAACAGCAGCACAAGCACGGGAACAGUGCAGCACAUCGGCUUCGUGUUUCAGAGGUGUCCCCUAGAAAAGGAUUAAUCCUGCGUGUCCCGAACGAAAUCCGUUCAGUCCCCAUCCACUGCACUAACGUUAAUGCAGAGAACUUUAAGCACCAAAAUGGUACGAGAUGAAAACCGUGAAUAAAAUACCACUAGAGAUACUCUUCUGUGAAAAUAAACUUGCUUUAACUAUUGUC
Long non-coding RNA from Numida meleagris (helmeted guineafowl), 11507 nucleotides. RefSeq lists it as uncharacterized. Lineage: Eukaryota; Metazoa; Chordata; Aves; Galliformes; Numididae. The transcript is spliced from 3 exons. The record is from RefSeq and is a predicted model, not a curated record.